This 488-nucleotide ribosomal RNA is filed under the name uncultured bacterium. RNAcentral describes it as "partial 16S ribosomal RNA". It matches the Rfam family "Bacterial small subunit ribosomal RNA", at positions 28 to 507 of the family's 1533-position model. The record is from RNAcentral.
GAUGAACGCUAGCGGCAGGCCUAAUACAUGCAAGUCGGACGGGAUCCAUUGAUAGCUUGCUAUCAAUGGUGAGAGUGGCGCACGGGUGCGUAACGCGUGAGCAACCUGCCUCCAUCAGGGGGAUAGCCUCUCGAAAGAGAGAUUAACACCGCAUAAUAUCAACAGUUCGCAUGUUCAGUUGAUUAAAUAUUUAUAGGAUGGAGAUGGGCUCGCGUGACAUUAGCUAGUUGGUAGGGUAACGGCUUACCAAGGCGACGAUGUCUAGGGGCUCUGAGAGGAGCAUCCCCGACACUGGUACUGGGACAAGGACCAGACUCCUACGGGAGGAAGCAGUAAGGAAUAUUGGGCAAGGGGCGGAAGCCUGAACCAGCCAUGCCGCGUGCAGGAUGACUGCCCUAUGGGUUGUAAACUGCUUUUGUCCAGGAAUAAACCUAAAUACGAGUAUUUAGCUGAAUGUACUGGAAGAAUAAGGAUCGGCUAACUCCGUG